RNAcentral lists this long non-coding RNA (16229 nucleotides) under Triticum aestivum (bread wheat). Its description in RNAcentral is "long non-coding RNA (TAES_LNC000930)". The record is from RNAcentral. Lineage: Eukaryota; Viridiplantae; Streptophyta; Magnoliopsida; Poales; Poaceae.
CACAUGCAGAAAGUACAAUACCAAGGUACAGUUUGAUGUCUUGUGUUCACAUCUUGCUGAUACAACAUGAAGGUGAAUGCGAUCACUUCUUAUACACAUAUCUGCUAGAACCAGGAAUUAACCGUACACAGAACACAAAAACAAACUCAUCUGACACAAUUAAGGAAGGACGGGCUGUGUGUGAAGGAAUGGCAGCAGCAGCUUGCGUGACCUUGGUUGCCCAAAGGAAUGGAGUGUUUCACAUGGAAAACACUUGCUGAUAGCACAUUAAGUACCCCCACCGAUUGUUGUCAACAAAACACACUACCUCUACCUAGAUGGGGCAUUCGCAACAACAAAGACGAAAUAGUUCUACUCAGCAGCAAAUUAAACCGGCAAAGUGCUGGGGAUUAUGCACUGCAGACUGUAGGGAUGCAUGGCUAUCAAAAUGUAACAAUGACCUUGGCCCUGGGAGAUACCCUCGGCAGAGCUAAUAGCUUCGCAAGAACCCUGCUGCAGUCUGUUUCGCCCUCCCAUUCUAUCUCCAAUUCUUCCAAAGCUGGUGCCCAGCUCAGUAGCUUUGCCACGAAAUCAACUUCAUAGUCAAGACCCGCAAAACCUUCCAUACUGGCCGUUACGAGAUGGUCCAUUUGCAAUUGCACGGUAAGCUCUUGAAUGCUCACCUGAUCCUGAUACCAUGGGCCCGGAAAGCGACUCUGCAUUUUCUUUUCACAACUCAUUAGGUGCCGUGAAUACAAGAAUGAACAUGGGUCGGAUGGAGAGGAUUGACUGGAGGCAUACGUACCCGCAUGUUAAGCCUCUUUAGGUUAGGGGCAUUCUGAAACAAUGAACAAGCGGCCAAGACUUGCCUCUGGUCCCAAAUCGUAAGAUAAAUAUGCUCCAAGCGAGUAAACACGGCAGGGAGCUUCAUAGGUAUGCACCCUUUUGAUAGAUGCUGCAACAAGAAAAGAAAAAGAAAAGAAAUAGCAACACAGAUUAGUCAGAAAUCAUAAGACAGAAGAAGGGCAUAGUAAUCUUGGAGCUAGCAAUAGCCCACCUUCAGGAAAAAGCCAAAAAAUGCAAGUUGUUUUAUGUCACUUACGCUUCCCAAUGACUUCUUGACAUAGUUUUUCGUGUCAUGAGCAAUUGGAACAGAUUGAUAUGCUUUAGCUUUGGGAUUAAGAGUGAGAACGGCCCAUUCUAGAUUAGGGGCAUCCAAAUUAAUGUCUUCAAAGCCCCCAACAACUUCAAGAUAUUCCAGUUUAGGAGCUUGAAUGUUUAGACACCUGAUGCCCUCAAAACGAACUAAUCUCAAAUCAGUCAGUACGGGGCAGAACGAGAUCAGAUUUUGGAUGUCCAUGUCCGUGGAGGAGAAAAGUUUCAGGCUGAGGUGAGUUAGUCUCUUGAAACCUUGGAAUACCCGGGGCAACAAGAUGGUGCAGUUUUCCAUGUGCAGAAUCUUCAAAUUGCCGAUAGAAAAUAGGCAUGAGGGAAUCCUAUACUCCGGCAAUGAGUUCAACUUGAUUAUAAUUGAUCUUGGUGAUCUCCUUGACAGCAUGAGCAUCCACCUAGCAAACUCAUAAUGGUAACUUUUGUUACCUGAUAUAUUAAACUCUUCUAUGGUUCCCUUGUGGAGUGCUAGCACCAUAUCGACCAACGUAACAAACUUGGUUUGUGCAAGCUUUCCAUCUUGCAGAAAUACUCUUGGCAUAUCAGUCCAUGCAUUCCUCCAAGUACUUGAUAAGAUGCUAGUCCUAACCGCUUCUUCGACAAGCAAACGAGAAAGGAUAUCACCCUUUAUCUCUGGAGGUAGACUGCUUACUCUGUCUGAACUCACAACAGAUGUAGCUUCCGCUCCGGCCUUUUCACAGGUACUCAUUGCUUCAGAAUCCAGAUUAAACUGUCCUAGCAUUUCCAGGGAGCCUAAAUUAGCGUGGAUUCUACCACAUAACACUUAAAAUACGAAACAUGGGAGACCUAAAUGGUGCACUAAGUAAGUUGCUUGUUCAUAGCAAAACGAAAAGGAAGCAACAACCGAGAGAUGGCAUUUGAGCGAAACAAGUCCAGUAUGUUUCUGCUAAUAGAACUGAACUCGACUAUUGCGUCAAUAAGCUGAAAAACUUGAUUAUACUUGUGUUAAAAGAGCAAACAUGUGGCAUGCUGCAUUCUGAAAGGGGUCAUUUGAAGAAGAUGUGAUUAUUUUUUUGAAAACCUUGUAUCGCAAAAUAUCCAAUGGACGAACAAUGUAGGGUAUAUAAUUGAUAUGCUGUCAACGUGGGCAAAUGAUGAAAUGCAACUCUACUUCAGGACAGAGUCAAUUUACCCCAGAACAGGACCUCCUUUAUUAACAUAGAUAGAUGUGGACUCGCACUCAAAUUAUUCAGGUGCAACAAUGUGUUUAGUCAAUAUAAGCAUGAUCAACAUGUACUAACUUAAUGUCAUGAUUACAUGUGGAUUAACUUAAAGCCAUGUACUAAAUUAUGUUAGUUAAUCUUUCUUAGCGAAUGAAAUAUGCUAGGAAAAUAAUAAUUCUGGGGAAAUUAGCACGGCAGAGCUAGAGAAUUCAACAUAAAUAACAGGGUACUAAACAAGCAUGUGAACAACUGACUCAGUAAUUCAUGAAUCCACCGCAACAAGUCUCGAAUUUCAAUCGAACUGGAAGUGGAAGCAAAACGAACCUACUAGUACUAAGUGUCUCAGUUGCUGCAGGGGCGCCGAAGAACGGGGGGAGGCGACGCCGCUUGCGCGCGGGCGCUGCCGCCAGACGGAGCGCAUAGAUCAGAGGGUCGAGGAAUGGAAGCAGGACGCCGGAUGCCCACGCCGCCGCGCCGCCGGCCAACGCGGCCGUCCGGUGUCUAGGGUUCGAAUUUGCUGGUUGCGCUUGCGCCUGCGACUCUGCGCUGCGGCGAUGGGGAAUUUCAGAAUUGGGCUUGAGGAGAGACUGGGCCAUAUCGGAGUAGGUAGGGAAGGAUGGGCCAGUUCUGGGCUGAAUGCUUAGAUAGUCUGCCAUACUUUUUUUUUUGGUUUCUCAAAAUAUACCCCUCAAAAAAAAGAUACACAGAUUUUUUGGGCAAUCCCUAAAAAAUUAUAUAUUUUGGGUGCAAAAACAAUGUGUAUUCUUUUUUUAGUUGGAAGUGUUGCAUUUAUUCAGAGUCCGAGUUUAAAGCAUCCAUAAUACAAGAUAUGAAACCAUGAUUUGCAUAGUUCAUUUGUCCAACCUUCCUUAGCUAAUAAGUGAGAGACGCUAUUAGCCGAGCGUCUCACCCACGAGACCCAAUACUCCUCUAUGGUAAGCAGCACACCUUUCACCUCCUCUACAAGUGCUCCAUAUAUGGAGAGAUCCCGUUCUUUUGCCUUGAGUUUGUUCACAAUCAUUUGAGAGUCUCAUUCUGGCACCAGCUUUUUCACUCAUUAUCUAUUGCAACGCAGCCACCCUGCAAACACGUCAAUAGCUUCAUCAACUCAGGGUCCAAAGCAAAAGUGAAAGAACUGUUGGAAAUAUGCCCUAAAGCCAAUAAUAAAUGGUUAUUAUUAUAUUUCUUUGUUCAUGAUAAUUGUCUAUUGUUCAUGCUAUAAUUGUAUUAUCCGGAAAUCGUAAUACAUGUGUCAAUACAUAGACCAUAACGUGUCCCUAGUAAGCCUCUAGUUGACUAGCUCGUUGAUCAACAGAUAGUCAUGGUUUCCUGACUAUGGACAUUGGAUGUCAUUGAUAACGGGAUCACAUCAUUAGGAGAAUGAUGUGAUGGACAAGACCCAAUCCUAAGCAUAGCACAAAAGAUCGUGUAAUUCAUUUGUUAGAGCUUUUUCCAAUGUCAAGUAUAUUUUCCUUAGACCAUGAGAUCGUGCAACUCCCGGGUGCCGUAGGAGUGCUUUGGGUGUGCCAAACGUCACAACGUAACUGAGUGACUAUAAAGGUGCACUACGGGUAUCUCCGAAAGUAUCUGUUGGGUUGGCACGGAUCGAGACUGGGAUUUGUCACUCCGUAUGACGGAGAGGUAUCUCUGGGCCCACUCGGUAAUGCAUCAUCAUAAUGAGCUCAAUGUGACUAAGGAGUUAGCCACGGGAUCAUGCAUUGCGGUACGAGUAAAGAGACUUGCCGGUAACGAGAUUGAACAAGGUAUGGGAUACUGACGAUCGAACCUCGGGCAAGUAACAUACCGAUUGACAAAGGGAAUUGUAUACGGGAUUGAUUGAAUCCUCGACAUCGUGGUUCAUCCGAUGAGAUCAUCGUGGAACAUGUGGGAGCCAACAUGGGUAUCCAGAUCCCGGUGUUGGUUAUUGACCGGAGAGGCGUCUCGGUCAUGUCUGCAUGUCUCCCGAACCCGUAGGGUCUACACACUUAAGGUUCGGUGACGCUAGGGUUGUAGAGAUAUUAGUAUGCGGAAACCCGAAAGUUGUUCGGAGUCCCGGAUGAGAUCCCGGACGUCACGAGGAGUUCCGGAAUGGUCCGGAGGUGAAGAAUUAUAUAUAGGAAGUCAAGUUUCGGCCACCGGGAAAGUUUCGGGGGUUAUCGGUAUUGUACCGGGACCACCGGAAGGGUCCCGGGAGUCCAUCGGGUGGGGCCACCUGUCCCGGAGGGCCCCAUGGGCUGAAGUGGGAAGGGAACCAGCCCUUAGUGGGCUGGGGCGCCCCCCUUGGGCCUCCCCCUGCGCCUAGGGUUGGAAACCCUAGGGGUGGGGGGCGCCCCACUUGACUUGGGGGGGAAGUUUCCCCCCUGGCCGCCGCCCCCCCUUGUAGAUGGGUUCUAGGGCCGGCGCCCCUCCCCCCCAGGGGGCCUAUAUAUAGUGGGGGGGAGGGAGGGCAGCAGCACCACAGCCCCUGGCGCCUCCCUCUCCCCCUGCAACACCUCUCCCUCUCGCAGAAGCUUGGCGAAGCCCUGCCGAGAUCCCCGCUACAUCCACCACCACGCCGUCGUGCUGCUGGAUCUCCAUCAAACUCUCCUUCCCCCUUGCUGGAUCAAGAAGGAGGAGACGUCGCUGCUCCGUACGUGUGUUGAACGCGGAGGUGCCGUCCGUUCGGCACUCGGUCAUCGGUGAUUUGGAUCACGGCGAGUACGACUCCAUCAACCCCGUUCAUUAGAACGCUUCCGCUCGCGAUCUACAAGGGUAUGUAGAUGCACUCCUUUCCCCUCGUUGCUAGUAUACUCCAUAGAUGGAUCUUGGUGAUGCGUAGGAAAUUUUAAAAUUCUGCUACGAUUCCCAACAGUGGCAUCAUGAGCCAGGCCUAUGCGUAGUUACUAUGCACGAGUAGAACACAAAGCAGUUGGGGGCGUAGAUGUUGUCAAUUUUUCUUGCCGCUACUAGUCUUAUCUUGUUUCGGCGGUAUUGUGGGAUGAAGCGGCCCGAACCGACCUUACACGUACGCUUACGUGAGACAGGUUCCACCGACUGACAUGCACUAGUUGCAUAAGGUGGCUAGCGGGUGUCUGUCUCUCCCACUUUAGUCGGAACGGAUUCGAUGAAAAGGGUCCUUAUGAAGGGUAAAUAGAAAUUGGCAUAUCACGUUGUGGUUUUACGUAGGUAAGAGACGUUCUUGCUAGAAACCUAUAGAAGCCACGUAAAAACUUGCAACAACAAUUAGAGGACGUCUAACUUGUUUUUGCAGCAUGUGCCUUGUGAUGUGAUAUGGCCAGAAGAUGUGAUGAAUGAUAUAUGUGAUGUAUGAGAUUGAUCAUAUUCUUGUAAUAGGAAUCACGACUUGCAUGUCGAUGAGUAUGACAACCGGCAGGAGCCAUAGGAGUUGUCUUUAUUAUUUUGUAUGACCUGCGUGUCAUUGAAUAACGCCAUGUAAAUUACUUUACUUUAUUGCUAAACGCGUUAGCCAUAGAAGUAGAAGUAAUCGUUGGCGUGACAACUUCAUGAAGACACGAUGAUGGAGAUCAUGAUGAUGGAGAUCAUGGUGUCAUGCCGGUGACGAAGAUGAUCAUGGCGCCCCGAAGAUGGAGAUCAAAGGAGCAAAAUGAUAUUGGCCAUAUCAUGUCACUAUUUGAUUGCAUGUGAUGUUUAUCAUGUUUUGCAUCUUAUUUGCUUAGAACAACGGUAGUAAGUAAGAUGAUCCCUUAUAAUAAUUUCAAGAAAGUGUUCCCCCUAAUUGUGCACCGUUGCGAAGGUUCGUUGUUUCGAAGCACCACGUGAUGAUCGGGUGUGAUAGAUUCUAACGUUCGCAUACAACGGGUGUUGACGAGCCUAGCAUGUACAGACAUGGCCUCGGAACACACGCAAUACACUUAGGUUGACUUGACGAGCCUAGCAUGUACAGACAUGGCCUCGGAACACGGAAGACCGAAAGGUCGAGCAUGAGUCGUAUAGAAGAUACGAUCAACAUGGAUAUGUUCACCGAUCUUGACUAGUCCGUCUCACGUGAUGAUCGGACACGGCCUAGUUAACUCGGAUCAUGUUUCACUUAGAUGACUAGAGGGAUGCUAUCUGAGUGGGAGUUCAUUGAAUAAUUUGAUUAGAUGAACUUAAUUAUCAUGAACUUAGUCUAAAAUCUUUACAAUAUGUCUUGUAGAUCAAAUGGCCCACGUUGUCCUCAACUUCAACGCGUUCCUAGAGAAAACCAAGCUGAAAGAUGAUGGCAGUAACUAUACGGACUGGGUCCGGAACCUGAGGAUCAUCCUCAUAGCUGCCAAGAAAGAUUAUGUCCUAGAAGCACCGCUAGGUGAAGCACCCAUCCCAGAGAACCAAGACGUUAUGAACGCUUGGCAAUCACAUGCUGAUGAUUACUCCCUCGUUCAGUGCGGCAUGCUUUACAGCUUAGAACCGGGGCUCCAAAAGCGUUUUGAGAAGCAUGGAGCAUAUGAGAUGUUCGAAGAGUUGAAAAUGGUUUUCCAAGCUCAUGCCCGGGUCGAGAGAUAUGAAGUCUCCGACAAGUUCUUCAGCUGUAAAAUGGAGGAAAAUAGUUCUGUUAGUGAGCACAUACUCAGAAUGUCUGGGUUACACAACCGCUUGUCUCAGCUGGGAGUUAAUCUCCCGGAUGACGCGGUCGUUGACAGAAUCCUUCAGUCGCUUCCACCGAGCUACAAGAGCUUUGUGAUGAACUUCAAUAUGCAGGGGAUGGAAAAGACCAUUCCUGAGGUAUAUUCAAUGCUGAAAUCAGCGGAGGUGGAGAUCAGAAAGGAACAUCAAGUGUUGAUGGUGAAUAAAACCACUAAGUUCAAGAAAGGCAAGGGUAAGAAGAACUUCAAGAAGGACGGCAAGGGAGUUGCCGCGCCCGGUAAGCUAGUUGCCGGGAGGAAGUCAAAGAAUGGACCCAAGCCUGAGACUGAGUGCUUUUAUUGCAAGGGAAGUGGUCACUGGAAGCGGAACUGCCCCCAAAUACUUAGCGGACAAGAAGGUCGGCAACACCAAAGGUAUAUGUGAUAUACAUGUAAUUGAUGUGUACCUUACCAGUACUCGUAGUAGCUCCUGGGUAUUUGAUACCGGUGCGGUUGCUCAUAUUUGUAACUCAAAACAGGAGCUGCGGAAUAAGCGGAGACUGGCGAAGGACGAGGUGACGAUGCGCGUCGGGAAUGGUUCCAAGGUCGAUGUGAUCGCCGUCGGCACGCUGCCUCUGCAUUUACCUAUGGGAUUAGUUUUAAACCUCAAUAAUUGUUAUUUAGUGCCAGCUUUGAGCAUGAACAUUGUAUCUGGAUCUCGUUUAAUUCGAGAUGGCUACUCAUUUAAAUCCGAGAAUAAUGGUUGUUCUAUUUAUAUGAGAGAUAUGUUUUAUGGUCAUGCCCCGCUGGUCAAUGGUUUAUUCUUGAUGAAUCUCGAACGUGAUGUUACACAUAUUCAUAGUGUGAAUACCAAAAGAUGUAAAGUUGAUAACGAUAGUCCCACAUACUUGUGGCACUGCCGCCUUGGUCACAUUGGUGUCAAGCGCAUGAAGAAGCUCCAUGCAGAUGGACUUUUGGAGUCUCUUGAUUACGAAUCAUUUGACACGUGCGAACCAUGCCUCAUGGGUAAGAUGACCAAGACUCCGUUCUCCGGAACAAUGGAGCGAGCAACCAACUUAUUGGAAAUCAUACAUACCGAUGUGUGCGGUCCAAUGAGUGUUGAGGCUCGCGGAGGAUAUCGUUAUGUUCUCACUCUCACUGAUGACUUAAGUAGAUAUGGGUAUGUCUACCUAAUGAAAUACAAGUCUGAAACCUUUGAAAAGUUCAAGGAAUUUCAGAGUGAGGUUGAGAAUCAACGUGACAGGAAAAUAAAGUUCUUACGAUCAGAUCGUGGUGGAGAAUAUUUAAGUCACGAAUUUGGUACGCACUUAAAGAAAUGUGGAAUCGUUUCACAACUCACGCCGCCUGGAACACCUCAGCGAAAUGGUGUGUCCGAACGUCGUAAUCGCACUCUAUUGGAUAUGGUGCGAUCUAUGAUGUCUCUUACCGAUCUACCUCUCUUAUUUUGGGGCUAUGCUUUAGAGACUGCCGCAUUCACUUUAAAUAGGGCUCCGUCGAAAUCCGUUGAGACGACACCGUAUGAAUUAUGGUUUGGGAAGAAACCUAAGCUAUCGUUUCUAAAAGUUUGGGGAUGCGAUGCUUAUGUCAAGAAACUUCAACCUGAAAAGCUCGAACCCAAGUCGGAGAAAUGCGUCUUCAUACGAUACCCUAAGGAAACUAUUGGGUAUACCUUCUACCUCAGAUCCGAAGGCAAGAUCUUCGUUGCCAAGAACGGGUCCUUUCUGGAGAAAGAGUUACUCUCGAAGGAAGUAAGUAGGAGGAAAGUGGAACUUGAUGAGGUGAUAGUCACCCCUUCCGAACCGGAAAGUAGCGCAGCGCGGGAAGAUAUUCCUGUGGUGCCUACACCGACUGAGGAGGAAGUUAAUGAUGAUGAUCAUGAAGCUUCGGAUCAAGUUACUGCUGAACUUCGAAGGUCCACAAGGACACGUUCCGCACCAGAGUGGUACGGCAACCCUGUUCUGGAAAUCAUGUUGUUAGACAACGGUGAACCUUCGAACUAUGAAGAAGCGAUGGCGGGCCCGGAUUCCGACAAAUGGCUAGAAGCCAUGAAAUCCGAGAUAGGAUCCAUGUAUGAAAACGAAGUAUGGACUUUGACUGACUUUCCCGAUGAUCGGCGAGCCAUAAAAAAUAAAUGGAUCUUUAAGAAGAAGACAGACGCGGAUGGUAAUGUGACCAUCUAUAAGGCUCGACUUGUCGCUAAGGGUUAUCGACAAGUUCAAGGGGUUGACUACGAUGAGACUUUUUCUCACCCGUAGCAAAGCUGAAGUCCAUCCGAAUCAUGUUAGCAAUUGCCGCAUUCUAUGAUUAUGAGAUAUGGCAAAUGGACGUCAAAACGGCAUUCCUUAACGGCUUCCUUAAGGAAGAAUUAUAUAUGAUGCAGCCGGAAGGUUUUGUCGAUCCUAAGAAUGCUAACAAAGUAUGCAAGCUCCAGCGCUCAAUCUAUGGGCUGGUGCAAUCAUCUCAGAGUUGGAACAUUCGCUUUGAUGAGAUGAUCAAAGCGUUUGGGUUUACACAGACUUAUGGAGAAGCCUGUGUUUACAAGAAAGUGAGUGGGAGCUCUGUAGCAUUUCUCAUAUUAUAUGUGGAUGACAUACUAUUGAUGGGAAAUGAUAUAGAAUUCUUGAAAAGUAUAAAGGCCUACUUGAAUAAGUGUUUUUCAAUGAAGGACCUUGGAGAAGCUGCUUAUAUAUUAGGCAUCAAGAUCUAUAGAGAUAGACGGUCAAGAAUAUCCUGAAGUACCUGAAAAGGACUAAGGAUAUGUUUCUCGUAUAUGGAGGUGACGAAGAGCUCGUCGUAAAGGGUUACGUCGACGCUAGCUUCGACACAGAUCUGGAUGACUCGAAGUCACAAACCGGAUACGUGUAUAUUUUGAAUGGAGGGGCAGUAAGCUGGUGCAGUUGCAAGCAAAGCGUCGUGGCGGGAUCUACAUGUGAAGCGGAGUACAUGGCGGCCUCAGAGGCAGCACAGGAAGCAGUCUGGAUAAAGGAGUUCAUUACCGACCUAGGGGUGAUACCCAAUGCGUCGGGCCCGAUGACUCUCUUCUGUGACAACACUGGAGCUAUUGCCCUUGCCAAGGAGCCCAGGUUUCACAGGAAGACCAGGCAUAUCAAGCGUCGCUUCAACUCCAUUCGUGAAAGUGUUCAAAAUGGAGACAUAGAUAUUUGUAAAGUGCAUACGGACCUGAAUGUAGCAGAUCCAUUGACUAAACCUCUCCCUAGAGCAAAACAUGAUCAACACCAGAACGCUAUGGGUGUUCGAUUCAUCACAAUGUAACUAGAUUAUUGACUCUAGUGCAAGUGGGAGACUGUUGGAAAUAUGCCCUAGAGGCAAUAAUAAAUGGUUAUUAUUAUAUUUCUUUCUUCAUGAUAAUUGUCUAUUGUUCAUGCUAUAAUUGUAUUAUCCGGAAAUCGUAAUACAUGUGUCAAUACAUAGACCAUAACGUGUCCCUAGUAAGCCUCUAGUUGACUAGCUCGUUGAUCAACAGAUAGUCAUGGUUUCCUGACUAUGGACAUUGGAUGUCAUUGAUAACGGGAUCACAUCAUUAGGAGAAUGAUGUGAUGGACAAGACCCAAUCCUAAGCAUAGCACAAAAGAUCGUGUAGUUCGUUUGCUAGAGCUUUUUCCAAUGUCAAGUAUAUUUUCCUUAGACCAUGAGAUCGUGCAACUCCCGGGUGCCGUAGGAGUGCUUUGGGUGUGCCAAACGUCACAACGUAACUGAGUGACUAUAAAGGUGCACUACGGGUAUCUCCGAAAGUAUCUGUUGGGUUGGCACGGAUCGAGACUGGGAUUUGUCACUCCGUAUGACGGAGAGGUAUCUCUGGGCCCACUCGGUAAUGCAUCAUCAUAAUGAUCUCAAUGUGACUAAGGAGUUAGCCACGGGAUCAUGCAUUACGGUACGAGUAAAGAGACUUGUCGGUAACGAGAUUGAACAAGGUAUUGGGAUACCGACGAUCGAACCUCGGGCAAGUAACAUACCGAUUGACAAAGGGAAUUGUAUACGGGAUUGAUUGAAUCCUCGACAUCGUGGUUCAUCCGAUGAGAUCAUCGUGGAACAUGUGGGAGCCAACAUGGGUAUCCAGAUCCCGCUGUUGGUUAUUGACCGGAGAGGCGUCUCGGUCAUGUCUGCAUGUCUCCCGAACCCGUAGGGUCUACACACUUAAGGUUCGGUAACGCUAGGGUUGUAGAGAUAUUAGUAUGUGGAAACUCGAAAGUUGUUCGGAGUCCCGGAUGAGAUCCCGGACGUCACGAGGAGUUCCGGAAUGGUCCGGAGGUGAAGAAUUAUAUAUAGGAAGUCAAGUUUCGGCCACCGGGAAAGUUUCGGGGGUUAUCGGUAUUGUACCGGGACCACCGGAAGGGUCCCGGGGGUCCACCGGGUGGGGCCACCUGUCCUGGAGGGCCCCAUGGGCUGAAGUGGGAAGGGAACCAGCCCUUAGUGGGGUGGGGCGCCCCCCUGGGCCUCCCCUGCGCCUAGGGUUGGAAACCCUAGGGGUGGGGGGCGCCCCACUUGACUUGGGGGGAAGUUUCCCCCCUGGCCACCGCCCCCCCCUUGUAGAUGGGUUCCAGGGCCGGCGCCCCUCCCCCCGAGGGGGCCUAUAUAUAGUGGGGGGAGGGAGGGCAGCAGCACCACAGCCCCUGGCGCCUCCCUCUCCCCCUGCAACACCUCUCCCUCUCGCAGAAGCUUGGCGAAGCCCUGCCGAGAUCCCCGCUACAUCCACCACCACGCCGUCGUGCUGCUGGAUCUCCAUCAACCUCUCCUUCGCCCUUGCUGGAUCAAGAAGGAGGAGACGUCGCUGCUCCGUACGUGUGUUGAACGCGGAGGUGCCGUCCGUUCGGCACUCGGUCAUCGGUGAUUUGGAUCACGGCGAGUACGACUCCAUCAACCCCGUUCAUUAGAACGCUUCCGCUCGCGAUCUACAAGGGUAUGUAGAUGCACUCCUUUCCCCUCGUUGCUAGUAUACUCCAUAGAUGGAUCUUGGUGAUGCGUAGGAAAUUUUAAAAUUUUGCUACGAUUCCCAACAAGAACAGCAAGUCCCGCCAAGGAACCCCCCAUGGUGAUCUCUCAAGACCGCCCCUCCUCUUCCUCUAACUCGGGUCUUCGGCAUCUCACCAUCCGUGUUAGAUUUAAUCCAUCCCUCGUCUAGAGGGGGCCAGUGCUCCGCCAAUUGGGACCAGCAAGUUGCCUCCCUUGGUUCCUUUGUUGAUUGCCAUUCCUCGAUGAAGAACUGAACCCCCAUAGCUAUAGCUUCCGGAUCACUGAUCUUGCCGCCGCCCACCUCAUUUUUGGCGAGCCACAAUUUGAUAGAUGGCUUGAAGGAUCACCGAUUCUCCAUUUUGAUAGAUGGCUUGAAGCAUCUAGUUACAUAGCUCACACUAGGAGUAGACGGAACUCAACAGUGAGUCAAUGGGUGCACUACACAUGGCCAAAGGAGCUUUCCAAACCGUGUGUAUUCAAGUGACAAUGGGUGGUUUGGGACAUAGCAGUGCAGAGCUCUAGGGGAGGGAAGGCCAUUGGCAGCGUGAGGUUCAAUGGAGAGAGAAAAGGAGAGGGGAUUGGAUAAAUUGCGGGAUUCCUGUCGCCUUGAAUCUACUUUUUUACAAGGAGGUCACCUCAAUCUUCAAACUUCCUGACCUGACACCACCAAGGAGACAAUUUCCCCACUUUCGAAAAACAACAAAGAUAAUUUCCCUAAUUCUUUAUGUGGUGUAAUAUUGCUUAUUGCCCAUGGCUCUUGCCGCAUUUGGUGAAAGGAUGGUUAGUGAACCCCAAGUCAUACGAUCAACGAUUAGGUCAUGUUGCAGUCUGUGCACAAAGUUUGUAGCAAGUGAUUUAUCUAAGCAAGUUCAAUACUAGAAUGCAAUUUUCUCACUUAAAAAAAUGGUUACCAUGGAUUCUGGGGUAUCUAUGUCUUUCUGGCUUGAUUUUUGGUGUGAAGGUGAUACUAUGUUUUCUAUGCUCGUCACCCAGUACACUAGGGUUUUGAACUCCAAUGGUGUGUGCUUGUUUUCUCCCCUUCUUCCCUUGAUCUUCCUCUUGAACCUCGCCUUUCAUCCAUGGCUGCCUAUAAGCUAUAGUCAUUGCAUCAUUUUUUGGCUUCAAUUACCCUUAAUUAGCAGGACAAAGGUUUGAGUUUCACGACUUUAUGAUUGAUGCAAGCUAUAAUGAGGAGACCAUCACAACAUUUUCUUCUUCUUUUGACCUUUUUUCUCGAUGAUCACGAUGAAAUUCAAACAAGGCUAUUUUCCAUUUCUCACACAUCGGGCAUAUGUGAACUCAUAUAUGAACUCGAUUGGUUACCACGGUUAGAGAUAACAAGCAUUAGUAGUUGACAUAACAUUAUUCAUGUGGUCUCAGAUUCACCCACAAGGUGAGCGUCUUCAAGGCAAAUGUCCACACGAGCAUGUGGGUGCCGAUGACGGGUGGUCUAGAUGGCCAUGUGAUUUACAUUAGCAAGCUCUUUUGCAAGUCCGUUUUCGUGAAACGGUCAGGUGUUCACCCNNNNNNNNNNNNNNNNNNNNNNNNNNNNNNNNNNNNNNNNNNNNNNNNNNNNNNNNNNNNNNNNNNNNNNNNNNNNNNNNNNNNNNNNNNNNNNNNNNNNNNNNNNNNNNNNNNNNNNNNNNNNNNNNNNNNNNNNNNNNNNNNNNNNNNNNNNNNNNNNNNNNNNNNNNNNNNNNNNNNNNNNNNNNNNNNNNNNNNNNNNNNNNNNNNNNNNNNNNNNNNNNNNNNNNNNNNNNNNNNNNNNNNNNNNNNNNNNNNNNNNNNNNNNNNNNNNNNNNNNNNNNNNCGCUUUUAAAAUACCACCAUACACGAAGAAGCAUUUGACACUUUCAGUUGCCAAAUAGCAAAUUAGCCCACACCCGCACAAUUGCACAUGCAAUAUUUUCAGUUGAUUUAAAAUUCUAUAUUACAAACUUUUUUUGAAAAUAUAUUUUGAAGACUAAAAAAACACAGAAAAUAUAGUGUAAAUUACAAAAAAGAAAAUAACCAAGCCAGGAAUAGCACAAGACAACACCUUUUGAAUUUUCCCUCUCGAGCCAGGCAAUAGGGCCCAUAUCAUCUAAUUCAUGAGUAUAUAAAUGUAAAAUACAACUAGGGAGUAGAUGCCACUAAGAGCAAGCCCAUUGUAGACACUAUUUUUUUUUAAACGUUGGCAGGAGAACUGCCAAAUUCAUUGAUCAGAAGAUGAGUAACAAGAGCCCUCCAAAGGAGGAAAGCACAGCAAAAAGGCUAGUGCAAAAAGAAAAGAAAGAAAAAGAAACCCGCCGGCACCAACACAAACCCAAGCUCAGUCAACAACCGUGCACAUCAUCGGAAUCCAUCGUCGAGGUCACCAAGAUGACGCUUUCAAGGAGGAAGUGGUAUUGGUAACACCACCAUCAUCCAAUCUGGCUCCGCCAGAUCUUAGGUUUUCACCCGAAGACCUCAGCUAUGAGGUAGGAAGAGCAAUGAGCUCCACGGCGGUACCUCCAAGGAAGAAGACGACAUCCAUAGAUGUCGUUACCGUCGGCACCGACGAGGUCAAUGCAGGAUUUUCAUCCGAAGCCAAGUCUUCCGCCACCCAUCCAGGAUUCGAGACCUACCCAUCGCCACCGGGCCGGAUGAAGUCAGGCACACACUACCAGACACGGGAAUGUCGCUGCCGCACGCAGAACUAGGCAAGCACAUGCCCACCUGACCGGUCUGCCUCGCCGCUCGCAGGACCUGGGCGAACCAAGUCGGCUUCGGCCAUCCUUUGACUCCGUGCGCAGAUCUGGGCGAGAAUUCGCACCGCAGCGCUCAAGAAAGACCAGAGAAGAACCUAAACUGACCGGCCCGCACCGCAGCGCGCCGAAACAGAGCAAAAAAACCAAGCCAAAGUUAACAGGCUCGCGCCGCCGCGCGCUAGGACCGGACCUCCGCCCUGGAAUUGGUCAGCCCGACCCUCCCCAAGCACCAAUAGGAUGGACGGCACCCCUGCCCUAGGAGCUGGACGUGCACACGGUUGAAGGGCGCCACUCCUCGCCCCUGCGCCUCCAUGACGCACAAGCACAGCGCCACUCCUCGCCCCUGCGGACCAACAACACGCAACAGAGCCCCCUCCACACUCCCGCGAGCGCCCGCCAUGGCAGAUGCGCGAGGCCGCCGGGCAUCCGCUCCGGCAGAUCGGCACAGGGGAAACCCCCGCACGCCACCGCGACGCCCGCUGCUGGUUCGCGUCGUGCACGCACGCGCGCCGUCACGCUACUCAGCAGCGAAGCCCCGGGCCCGCCGAAACCCUAGAUCGGGUCCGGCCCCUGCUCGCCGCGCCUUCUCGCCGCGCGCAGCACUACCCGCGCAGCGCCUGCCGCGCGCACUGCGCCCGCCGGCGCCUGCUCGCCGCGCGCAUCGCGCCCGCCACGUCCCCACUCCUCUCCUUGGCCGAGCAACCCCGCGCUGCCCAGGCCUCGCGAGAGGGAAAAAAUGGGAGGCCCCGCCGCCGCCGACGCCACGCGGGCUUUGCCCGGCGGCGGCGGCGAGGGGAGGGGGAGAUCUGGGAGGGGGGCUGGAGUGGCGGCUAAGGUUUCGCCCGGGCCGCCCGCGGGGAGGGCGACACGAGCGACCUGCUUUUGCUCACUGAUUUAAGAAACUAUUUGUAGACACUAAUGGUGAGAACAAUAACUGGCUAGUAGCUUUGGCUCAUUCCAAGAGCGGGAUUGAUUAACACCAGAUUAAAUAGUUUUGAAUUGUUUAAAGUGGGUAGAAGUAAAAACUGGUUCCUGUCACCUCAACAUGAGAAAACCAUAUCGAAUAAUAUCGGAGCAGCAUUUUAAAGUGACAGUGAUAUAUAUAAAUAUUUCCCUUAUAAAAAAUAGAAUAGUAGAUGCAGGAGCAUUAGACAUUCAUUCCAACCUGAAACCAAUGUAAACCAAUCUGAUAAUGCUUUGAUUUCCGAAAGUAAAACUGAAAUCAAUCUAGUAAAACUGUCCACACAUGCAGAAUGUACAAUACGAAGGUACAAUUUGAUCCCUUUGAUCACUUCUCAUGGACACAUAUACUUGCUACAACCAGGAAUGUACCAGACAGAACACAGGCACAAAACAGGUCAAGAUGAACUCACGCUGUCGAGGAACGACAGCAGUGGUUUGCGGGUUUCAUAUGGAAAAAACUUGCUGAUAGCACAUUAAGUACUCCCAUCGAAUGUUAAACAAAACACACUACGUCUACCUGAUAAUCUGCAUCCAAUGCACACAAAUAUAUAACCAUCAGAUAGUCCUAGCUGGUAGAUCCGCAUAAACAAAGCAAAAAAAACAACUCUAUCCGCAGCAAAUUAGAUCGGCAAAGUGAUGAGGGAACAUAG